CCAUUGGAUGAUGAUGAGGCCU
RNAcentral lists this non-coding RNA (22 nucleotides) under Rattus norvegicus (Norway rat). The record is from RNAcentral. Lineage: Eukaryota; Metazoa; Chordata; Mammalia; Rodentia; Muridae.